GAAUGACGGUGCAUCUUACCCCUCGGAACCAGGUGCGAAGCCAACAGGUUUGUGCAGAAAGCGAGCCGGCGUCUUGUGCUGGGAGCUGGAGCGCGCCUCGGACGGAGAACGAAGGCACGAGUAUCCCGCGUUCCUUGUCCGCGCUCGUAUUGCUUUUGUCAGUGCAUCUAUUGCAUCCAGUGUGCCGCCUUGGGGGUGCUGUGCAGAUCGGUUGGCUAAGUAGGGGUGGAGGUGUUGAACUGCAUUCCCACUGACUUUAUGGAAGUAGACAGCUGGAUAGAGAAGAGGUUAUACCAUGAUUCCAGCUGGGAGAAGCAGUAAGGUGAGCUUG
Molecule: long non-coding RNA, 331 nt
Filed under: Gallus gallus (chicken)
Lineage: Eukaryota; Metazoa; Chordata; Aves; Galliformes; Phasianidae
Description: long non-coding RNA NONGGAT003914
Source: RNAcentral